RNAcentral lists this ribosomal RNA (255 nucleotides) under uncultured bacterium. Its description in RNAcentral is "partial 16S ribosomal RNA". It matches the Rfam family "Bacterial small subunit ribosomal RNA", at positions 524 to 776 of the family's 1533-position model. The record is from RNAcentral.
UACGUAGGGUGCAAGCGUUAAUCGGAAUUACUGGGCGUAAAGCGUGCGCAGGCGGUGAUGUAAGACAGGUGUGAAAUCCCCGGGCUUAACCUGGGAACUGCAUUUGUGACUGCAUAGCUAGAGUACGGUAGAGGGGGAGUGGAAUUCCGCGUGUAGCAGUGAAAUGCGUAGAUAUGCGGAGGAACACCGAUGGCGAAGGCAAUCCCCUGGACCUGUACUGACGCUCAUGCACGAAAGGCGUGGGGAGCAAACAGG